CCUACGGGUGGCAGCAGUGGGGAAUAUUGGGCAAUGGGCGCAAGCCUGACCCAGCAACGCCGCGUGAAGGAAGAAGGCUUUCGGGUUGUAAACUUCUGUUGUCAGGGAAGAGUAGAAGACGGUACCUGACGAAUAAGCCACGGCUAACUACGUGACAGCAGGCGGGGUAAUACGUAGGUGGCAAGCUUUGUCCGGAUUUACUGGGUGUAAAGGGCGUGUAGACGGGUUGGCAAGUCAGAUGUGAAAGCCUGCGGCUUAACCGCAGAACUGCAUUUGAAACUGUUGAUCUUGAGUACUGGAGAGGCAGAUGGAAUUCCUAGUGUAGCGGUGAAAUGCGUAGAUAUUAGGAGGAACACCAGUGGCGAAGGCGGUCUGCUGGACAGCAACUGACGGUGAGGCGCGAAAGCGUGGGGAGCAAACAGGAUUAGAUACCCUAGUAGUC
This 442-nucleotide ribosomal RNA is filed under the name uncultured bacterium. Its description in RNAcentral is "partial 16S ribosomal RNA". It matches the Rfam family "Bacterial small subunit ribosomal RNA", at positions 338 to 795 of the family's 1533-position model. The record is from RNAcentral.